GCUGUAGAGUUGAGCUCCCACUUUCUCCUCCUCUUCCACCAUAGACAUCUUCAUCAAUAUUCAGUUUCUUCUUCUCCAGUUGUGCGUGAUAAACAUCAUUCCUUUGUUUCUCCAAGAUACAGUUUCCAGCUUUCAUAAGUGAAAUCUUCAGUAUGUGGCCAGUGCAUUUUGGUGCUACUCCGAUGGGUCUCGUCUUCUGACCCUUGCUUCCUUCUUCAAUUUAUUAGGAAAGCAUAGAAAAGAUGAACAAAGUCAAAGCUGGAAAGAAGAAAAGGCGAGAAAAGCAGGACAAAAGACUAAAAGUGUUCUAGGACACAACCAUUAGAUACUACUAUUGCAAUUAGGGUUGCGACCGUGAUCACUACUUGUCCAUGUAAGCAAAAGAGCUACGAUGGCGAGCCAAUGUCGCGCGAUCAUGAUAGUCCAUGAAAAAAAAGAUGUCGCAAUCGCGAAAAAAGGGUUGCGAUCACAAACGCCUAGCUAAAUUAUAAGGGCAGUAAUGGAAUUUUACAAGACUCAAUCCCAAGACACAAAAGGGCUAAUCCCUAACAUUUCCAGCAUCCAGUUUUCAGUUUUUGAGAGCUAAGAACACUAUUUUUGAGGAAAAAUAAUUUUGUGAGUGAUUUCUAAGGGAGAUUUUGCUACUUGGUUGGAUUUAAAGCUUGGGAAUACAUUUAUUUUUCCUUCCAUGUAUGAAUUGAAUGCUAAUUUUGGUAAAUAUCAUUUCUUUAUUUCCAUGAGUAGCUAAA
Long non-coding RNA from Capsicum annuum, 749 nucleotides. RefSeq lists it as uncharacterized. Lineage: Eukaryota; Viridiplantae; Streptophyta; Magnoliopsida; Solanales; Solanaceae. The record is from RefSeq and is a predicted model, not a curated record. The transcript has 3 exons.